Thunnus maccoyii (southern bluefin tuna) is the source of this 696-nucleotide long non-coding RNA. RefSeq lists it as uncharacterized. NCBI's taxonomy places the organism in Eukaryota, Metazoa, Chordata, Actinopteri, Scombriformes, Scombridae. The transcript has 3 exons. The record is from RefSeq and is a predicted model, not a curated record.
GGUCACCGUAUCGCAGAGCUAUGGGGAGAAAGAGCUGUGCACAACCAAAUGUGCUGAUGGCCGUAGCUGAUGUCACAAUGGAUGAGACGUAGCACCAGAGAGACAUUUUGAGAGUGAAACCGAACUGUUCCAACUGCAGAGGUCACUGUGAGGUGAUCAGAGCCCAACAACAGCUAAGACUGAAGUUAAUGAAGCUUUGAGGUGAGCUAAGAUCACCGUUGGCUUGCAGAGAAAUGAACACACACCACAAAGACAACUUUCUUUAGCGAAACGGCUAUUUAAAGAGGAGAAGAAGGGCGACAUGGACGCGAGCCAAGCCGUAUCUUUAUCAUCCAGAGAGGUUUACUGACGAGGUGGUGAGUAGUUUGCAAAGUGGGUUUUUAACAUGUCACAUUUCCAAAGAGAAUUAUUUCUACAUUUAAUUUUUCAGGACGUCAGAGCCUAAAAACAUAGCUGGGUCAAUUUUUUUCAAUACUGUCAUUCUAAUUAUACAGUAUGAUGUCAUGAUAUCGGAUGAGACAUCAGAUUUACACAUGUGUAAUCAAUCAGCAGCUAUUCUGGCUCAUAAUUUACUGUCUGGCUGAAUAAUGAGAAAAUGUCUGCUUUGGUACCAUUAAAGGGAAACAGUGCACAGAGAGUGAGUUAUUCAUGUUUCUGGUCCAUGAUGGUGACUGGCUGUUUAUGUCAAAUCACAUU